This is a long non-coding RNA of Protopterus annectens (West African lungfish), 6571 nucleotides long. RefSeq lists it as uncharacterized. The transcript has 2 exons. The record is from RefSeq and is a predicted model, not a curated record. NCBI's taxonomy places the organism in Eukaryota, Metazoa, Chordata, Ceratodontiformes, Protopteridae.
AUAAGUCUGAUUGACAAUGGGUACGCUGACCAAUCAGCAUGCACAUUUUUAAAUAUUAAUGGGGAGAGUCGUUGUAUAAUUAAAGAUUUACCUUUGAUGUCUGAGAGUGAGUGCUUUAUUAUGUAUUUUUACUAGGGAAGGGUCCUGCUUGUUGACAAUGGAUGUGUGAAACCUCAUAAAAGCUAUUUAUCUUAGGAAAGAAAAGGUCUGUGGAUUAUGCAAAAAAAUAACAUAGUAACAUCUGGUGCUUACAAUAAUUCUAGAAAAAGGAAAGAAGUAUGUUCACAUCUUGUAUGGAGAAUGCAUGGUUACAUAUGGGAGAUAAAAGUAUCUAGACAACUAAUCAAAUACAACAUUUGCAAAAGCCAUUUUAUCAAAACCUUUUCAUCAUAUUCAGUGGUGUAUUGAAUUAAAGACUGAAUGCAUAUGUGUGGUAUUUGCUCUUUUGGGAUUAGAUUUAAGGUCAUGCUCAGGUUUAGGAUAAGAGGGACAGAGUUAGAUUUAAGGUUAUGCUCAUGUUUUGAUAAGAGGGAUAGAGUUACAUUUAAGGUCAUGCUCAGGUUUAGGAUAAGAGGGACAGAGUUAGAUUUAAGGUCAUGCUCAAGUUUUGAUAAGAGGGAUAGAGUUAAAUUUAAGGUCAUGCUCAGGUUUAGGAUAAGAGGGAUAGAGUUAGAUUUAAGGUCAUGCUCAGGUUUAGGAUAAGAGGGAUAGAGUUAGAUUUAAGGUCAUGCUCAAGUUUUGAUAAGAGGGAUAGAGUUAGAUUUAAGGUCAUGCUCAGGUUAAGGAUAAGAGGGAUAGAGUUAGAUUUAAGGUCAUGCUCAGGUUUAGGAUAAGAGGGAUAGAGUUAGAUUUAAGGUCAUGCUCAAGUUUAGGAUAAGAGGGAUAGAGUUAAAUUUAAGGUCAUGCUCAGGUUUAGGAUAAGGGGGAUAGAGUUAGAUUUAAGGUCAUGCUCAGGUUUAGGAUAAGAGGGAUAGAGUUAAAUUUAAGGUCAUGCUCAGGUCUGGGAUAAGUGGGCUAGAAUUAGAUUUAAGUGUAGCAGGCAUUUUGCUCUGCAUGAGAAAGUACAAAGCUGCAUACCUCACAAGGAAUUUUGUCCAUAAUUAUCUGUGUUUGUGUUUUGAUAAUUUUUGUUGAAGCAUCUUUACAAGGAAUUGAUUUUUGAUUUUGGUGCAGUAUGAUUAUGUGUAUUCACUGGAGCUGUCCUGACUGAUUUUGUAGUCAAAUAUCUGACAUGGAAGUACAGUCCAUAGAGCACACUGUUUUCACACUUCAUCAUUCAUGAACACUAAUAAAUGCUUGAAAUGAGAGGCAAUAACUUUUAAGUUUGUCUGCUUAUAGGUGUAUAUAGUUAGGCACCUUAUGGUCCCAUGAUCACAUGCUCAGUAUGUUUCUAUGUUCCUAUAUAUAUAUUGUUGCAAUAUAAAGUCAUUCUACUUUUCUUUUUCAGUUUUUCCACAUCAGUGUUCCCAUGAUUUUAGUUCCAGUCAAUUCUUUAAAUUUAUGCAUAAUAGCGAGUGUGCAUUCAUAGCUCAUCUGUGCUAAAUUCAUGUAAAGACACUUAGGCACACAAACACACACACACACACACACACACACACACACACACACACACACACACACACACACACACACACACACACACACACCUUAAGAAAGAGCCAAAAGGAUGUAGAUUUAUUAAUCAGAGAGGCUGCACAAGUCUUGCAACUCCUUUGCAGCUGACCCAUCUCUUCCACAUGCCAUCACUACUACACCCUUCUCCCUCCAACAUUAUUGAACGUCUCAUAUGACCUACACUUUAUUACUUUGACUAUGCACCCUAAGACCUCACCACCAUCUCUGUGAAACAGUAUUUUGUUAUGUCACCCAUGACUUGUCAUACCUUGGAGGCUGAAAUUCCCUCUACUAACUGUACAUCACCUUCAGCUCCAUCCCAUUAACUUGUUGCCAACAGAGACAUCUAUCCAUAACAGAGCCUCACUUGUUCUUUUCUCUUACAGUCAUAGCUCUCAACCUCUUUCCUUUAAUGUCAGGGACAGUGCUAAAAACAAUUAGGCACAAAGGCCCAACAACAGAUCAUAGACACUUAAAAUAUUGACAGUAUUCACAUAGAAAGUUGAAUGUAUAAAAGGAUUUGUAUUACUAUGUUUAUUUUAUUUGUUUUAUUUUACAUUUGUGAUGAGGAUAGUCUGACUUGAAUGAACCCCUUUCAAGAGGGGUCCCAGAUAGAAAAGCUGUAUUAAAUACUACAAUAAGCUAAAAUAGAGAAGGAUUAUAGUACAACAAAACUGUAAACGGAGUAAUACAUUAGCAAGAGUAUAUACAAGAAGCAGAAUACAUCAAGUGUAGAUUACAGAGAUUACAGGAAAUAAUAGAAAUACAUUGGUAAAAGCAAGUGGCAAGCAUUAAUAUACAAGGAGAGGAUGUCUGAUCCAAAAAUGCUAGCCAGUAUGGUCAUAGUGUCCUUGAUAUGUAUGUCCAAGUAAUAAACCUGAGAAAAAAGUAAUGAUAAUGAUAAUAAUAAUAAUAAUAAUAAUAAUAAUAAUAAUAAUAAUAAUAAUUCAUUAAUAUACAAAUAAAGGUUGUUCAAACCAUCAGAUGCUGAGUAGCUCAGUUGACAGUGUAUUUGUGCUUAAACCCAUGGAAAAACUACCAAGAAAAUGGUGAAGAGAAACAUAUUUAGCAGAAGGCGGGGGAGCUGGUGAGAAGGAAAUGAACUAGGCAGAUGGAAGGGAGAGGUAUACCCUACCUUACUACAGGAAGAAAGAGUAAGUUAGGAGAAUGAAAGAAAGAUGGAAGUAGAUGUUGGAGCUGAGGAGGGAAGGUAAGUGAGGAAGGGGUAUACAGAAACUGUCCUGUAAGAGUUGUAUAUUUUCUGAUGAGCAAAAUGUCUGCAAAUGUAAUGUCUAGAUUUAUGUAGUGACUUCAGCCUUUACUGUUUUAAAAGGUCACAAAUUUUAUGACGCACAGGGCAAAAUUUAGUAGCAAAACCGAGGACAUCUCUGAAAAUCAGGGACAGUUGAGAGGCAUGUUUCCAGUGUGAAAACACCAGGUUUUCUGCGUCUUCCUUCACAUCUCAGCUGCUCCAUUUCCUUUACCAUCUUGAUACUUUCCCAUUGCACAUUUAGACAGAUCUACUCACCUUUCAUCUCUUUCAGUCUACCAGAUGUAAUCCAGAUGUGCUCCUUUCAGUACCGUGAAUAAUAUGAGUAUGUUUAUAGCAUCUGUUUGGUCCAUUCUGUUAGCUGUAUGUGUCAUCAUUCUUUUGACUUUUAGUACUUCUCUUUUCAUAAUGUGCUUUAUAGUUAAAGGAUGAUUAUGUCACCCAGAUAUUUUUAUAUUUAGUCUUUGCUAGGACCAUCCAUUCCAACAUGUAUGUUUUCCUGAAUCACACCACCAAAAGUAGAAAACUACUAUAUGAUACAUCAGUGGAGGCUAGGUCCUCUAUACUUUUCUUCUACAGUAGCACUGGCAUAUUAAGCAAACAGAUUUGCCUUCAUCUCCUGCCCCGGUACAAUAUAAGUAUGCUAAACAAGCUGACAUAAGUACUGAAUCCUGAAACUUCAUUGAGCCCUUGGUUUCAUCCAUAUAGCUCUUUCUUAAUUGUAAUCCCAUGCUUCUAAUCGCGUACCCAUUUCCCUAUACAUUGAAUGGAUUUUGUCUCAAUCUCAUACCAUUAAUUUUGUUAUCAACAUCAUGUGAGGCAUAAUAUCAGAGACCUUCCUAAACCUGCUAUAACACAGUCACAGAAUUUCCACUGUCCACUGUGUCAAGUCACUGAUUCACAGACCUAGAUCAGUAAUGGCUGACAGGACAACUGCUACAUGGAGUCUUGCUGUUUUUAUCAAUACUAGAAUUAACAAUUAGAAUCUCCUCCAGUUGCCUAACAUGCAGAACUUUUUUCUAGAAUCUUCUUUAAGAUGUAAAAUUAAUGGGUAUGAGCAUAACGUACUCCUGCUGUUAUUUUUUCCAGGGGGGGAUUAACCUUAGCACCUUCCAGUCCUGCAGAGCAAUUCUAGUUUCUGUGAAGAAACUGUACAAGUUAGCCAGUGGUCAGCCAAGCACCACUGCCAGUUCUUUUAGUCCCUAGAAAGGAAAUUAUCAGGAAUUUGCACCAUAUCUCCCAAAGUCUCUUAAUUUCUCUAACUCCUAAGCGUUCACUUUCUUAUCAAUCAUUUUGUCCCCAUUCCUACUUUACAUUUCCAUACUAAUAUCUCUGUCCUGCAUUCCUUCAUACAAGCUGGUGUGAAGAAUUCAUACAGUAGUUUAGCCUAAUGUCUACCUUUCUUAAAAUUCUUCUCUGUCUUAGUAACCCAGGACCCUGUAGCUUCAAUCAGCUUUCCUUACUGUAGUUGAAGAAUUUUUCAGCACUUCCCAUGCCAUCUCCUUCCGUUAAGUUGUUUUAGCCUAUAAAUUCACAAUGAUGUUUUAUCCACUACAUAGAUCAUGUUCUGCUACCACACAUUGUCCAUCUUUAAUGCCAUCUGCAUUCAUUUAUUGCACCCAUAUCUGUGUCGUGACUGGAGCAGUUGUCACCUUCCCCAUAUAUCCUUAGGUUAUUAGAUGAUUACAUACCCAUUUUUAAUCUCCCAGAUGCACCCCCUCAGUUUUUCCACUAUCAUCAUUUUCAGUCAGCCAGACACAUUCUGUGACACUGUUCUCCCUACACCAUUGAUUUUUCCCACCUUCCAAGGUCAGGCCUUUGUCUUUGUUGUACUUUCUGCAGUACUUCCGAGAAGGUGAAUGCACAGUAGCAUGAUCAUAGCGUUGUCACCUCAUUCUUACAGGUGAGACCUGUGUGAAGGCUGUUAGCCUUCCUUAAUGGGGUACGGGCUCCUCACUUUCAGCUUCUAUGUAAGCAUUUUCCAUUUCUCUCACUACAAACUGUGAGAAGGAGAAAAUAAAGUGCUCACAACACUAUUUCUCCUUUUCUUUGACAUUAUUCUUUCCCACCCGGGCCUGUCUUCAUUUUUUUCUCCUGCAUCUGUUGACCUAUUUACUGUACCAACCUACUAAAUGACCUCUACUUCUCCCCAAGCCUCAAGUAUGACACGGCGGCCUACACUUUUUCAUAAUAAGUUCUCUAGACAGCACAUUCGAUUCCAUCCUGAGAGCACACUGCCUCCCCUGCUUCUGCUUUUGCACUCUGCCUGUUCAUGUAUUGUACCCUUACUUCUGGCAUGACAAACCGAACAUUUACAACUUGAUUUUUAGCGCCCAAAACCAGGUUGCCACCAUGGCACAGUGACUAUGUAGUCUAUGCCUUGAGUUUAUUUACAAUGAGUUUUCAUCAAGACACUGUAUGCAACUGAUUUGUGCAAUUGCGAUCAUUUUUGUGGCACUUUCAGCAUCACUUUACAUUUUACACUUGCUCUCUUCCAACAUCAAUUUCCUACUGAUUCCUUAGUUCACUUUCUGUCCCAUGCACAUACUGUGCACCAUCUAUAAAGACAUUUUUUUACUUUCCUUUCCUCUAAUUAAUUCAAAUUGUCGAUAUUUAAAUUAAUAUAAUUUUCCAGCCCACCUUACAAUGCCCCUUGCAAUCUAUACUUUGAGUAUUGCAUUAUAAUUUUGUUAAUUUUUUUAUAAGGUAGUAGAUUUAUAUAUGAGUUCAGAUUAAUGUAAUAAACCUGUAAACUGUUCAUCCAGAAAGGAAAAUAUGCUGCAUAAAAUAAAAAUAUUAAAUUCUGCAUUUAAUUUUAGAUUGCUUCUACAAAACUUUAGCACAGAUUUUUUAUUUUUUUAAUUUUACUGAAUUGUUAUUUGGCUGUUAGGUAGAAUGUACAUCUCUUUUAAAAUAUGUUUUAAUAUUCACAUAAGUGAAUAAUUCACUUUAGAAGAAAUCUAUGGAAUGGUUCAUACUGAAAAGAGUAAAACCAUAUCCUGUCACAAUGUGUAAACUACAAAUGUAAAUAACAUUCUCACCGAGUCAUUUGGGUGUAAGAGUUUCUGCUGAACUUGGAAACAUAUUACAAGGAAAAUGAGCAAGUCCAACACAUUUAUCUGAGCUUAUUUCACUAUAGUGUAUCAUAAAUAAAUUUUAAAAAUGUUAAGACCAAAUCUUGAUGAUUUUUAAAUAUGUUUAAAUGUGUAUUGCAGCGUACUUCUAAUAAUAUUACUGGACACUAUAUUACCAUCCCACUGCUGAGACUUGACAGUUACAAGUAAGAAUGAGUUUUAUGACAAAUGACUUCUCUGUUCAUACACACUACCUAAAAUAUCACUGCAUAGCAGAGAAAUAAAUGCUUUUUCUCAUACACUGUGACAACUGCCAUUUUGGCACGUGUUGUGUCUGUUAAAUUAGAAGGAACUUAUGUGCCAUAAUUGAGUGUCAUUUUUAACUAAAGUGAAGUGUUGAUAUGUUGUCCACUGGAAACUUGCAGCCAUUUGCAGGAAUGGUUGCUCAGUCUUCCUAGGUGUCUAAUGUUGUUUUCUUAUCCUUAUGUUUUUAUUAAAUGUGUUAUUCACUGUCAAGCCAUUUUCCUUACUGAACUGUUUGUUUUAUAUGCUUGUGAUACAGUUUAAUAACAAUGUGCCUACACAUAUAUUGAUUAAACAAACAUUAAUACAA